GAUGGCAUCGUUGGAAUCUUUUAUGGCCGACGGAUUUCGUUGGAGCUUUCAGAAAGUUAUCUACGGCCGUAUAUUUGCAUUAAUUUAUUGCAAAUAUAAAAGACUUUUGCGAUGAUUGAUCGCAGCAUGUUGAACAUUCAUAUAAUAUAAUAUAUUCGCGGCUUAUCUGACAAUCGACGGCGAUAGCAAAGGGCGCUAUGGCGAAAAAGAUUUAGCCAUAAAGAUCAAAUCGGACGAAAGGCUAAAUAAAAAUCCACCAAACACUCGAGUUGGUGGUCGCUCAUAAAAAUCGAAGGGGCUAGGUAUGGUAUUGAUAAGGGGGGCGGUCGGGUGGCGGUUAAACCCUUAUCAAUGCGCCGGACUACUUAAUUGGCUUGAUAUUGCCCUACUACCCCAACUACCGUGUGGCCAAGUGUGGAUUGUGAUUGAUUCCAUUCCGAAUGCUAAAUACGCAGACGGGAUCGGGUGCCCCUUUUAAAUUGGUUUCACGAUUGCGAUCGGAUCGCGAAAUAUGUGUGUGAUUACUCCACUUACGAGUGUUUCAUUAACAGACCCACUCCACUCGAUUCGAAUCUCAAUCAGCCAUGAAUGUUGUUUCUAUAUAAUCGGCUUCAGAUUCGAUUUCGAUUUCGCUUUCAAUUCAACCCCCUCUCCCCCUUCCCAGUUUGGAUUUCACUGGGUCUCAGGUGCUUUCCACUGGGGGUUUAUCUGCCUCAAUUGCGCGAAUUGUUUAUUAAAACAUUAUCAAUAUCUGUAAUCCACAGUCGGAUCCACUUCACGCUGUUCUACACUCGUUUCGUCUGGCUUUGGCCUUUGUCAUUAGUCCCAUUGACAACUGCUAAUUGUGAGGUCCACCCUAAAGGAUGUGUUUGGGCUGCUGCUGCUGGAGGGUCCACAAGCUAGUGUCUGAAUUUGAGUCACAACCCGUUGCAAAUGCUGGCGUUGUUGUCGUGGAAUAAUUAAAGCAAAUUUGCACUUCAGACAGUCGCCCGUGGAAAAACAAGGCAAACAUCUCAGCUCUCAGCACUGGCGACCCACAACAAGAGCGGUGCCGAAUCACCAAACCCAGGUACAAUCGAGGAUACCGCCUCCUUAAGGAGCGACAAAACCCCAAAGGAAUUUCACGGAUAACAAUCCGACUGCAGCAUACCCCGUAAUAAAUUAAACCAAAAAGUAUGGCAUUCCUUGCAAGCUGCAACUUUAAGCUACGUAAUAAACAUGUCUUAUCUUUAAUAUUAAGUUUUUAAUGCUAAUCUAGACAAAGACCUCUGCCAUCGCAUGCUUGUUACCUGCUUGCCAGCUUAUCUGAUAUACCCCUUUCAAAUAGAAAUUCCGCUUAUAACAACAACAACACCGUCAGCUGCCAGUGCCAACAUCAACAAAAAGGGGUGCUCCAAAGUGUUUCGAGGACUCGUACCUCCUACGACGACAAUUGCAACAACAGCAAUGCAGAACAAAACGCCAGUCAGCCGGGAAAGUACGCAAAAAAAUGUCUUUAUGUACGAAAGGCAAGAGCCAACAACACAAAAAACAAUGCCAGUGAGUGGCACAGAGCGCUGGAACAGGAGCGGUUCAUCUGGAGGAGAAGCUAUGGUAAUGCCACACUAAGUUUUGAGUUCCUAACUAUAAGGAUUAUGUUAACAAAUAGUUGCCUCUUUUAUGCUAAGCAGAUUGGAAAAAUUACGUGUACGUAACUGCGUAUGCGUCAUUUUUUUGGAAUUGCGUAUACGCAGUUACGUAUACGUAUAUUUUAAUGGAAGUUAAGCCGAAUAUGAAAACAGCACUUAAUAAAGAUAACGAUUAAUUUGUUAAAAUGUUGUACAAAACAACGUUAAAUAUUUAA
Long non-coding RNA from Drosophila simulans, 1843 nucleotides. RefSeq lists it as uncharacterized. Lineage: Eukaryota; Metazoa; Arthropoda; Insecta; Diptera; Drosophilidae. The transcript is spliced from 3 exons. The record is from RefSeq and is a predicted model, not a curated record.